GUAGCAGUAGCACGGUGGUAGAGCUCCCGCAUCGUACGCGGGAAGACCUGGGUUCGAUUCCCGGCUGCUUUC
RNAcentral lists this transfer RNA (72 nucleotides) under Toxocara canis (dog roundworm). It matches the Rfam family "tRNA". Rfam says of the family: Transfer RNA (tRNA) molecules are approximately 80 nucleotides in length. The record is from Rfam by way of RNAcentral. Lineage: Eukaryota; Metazoa; Nematoda; Chromadorea; Rhabditida; Toxocaridae.